Molecule: non-coding RNA, 327 nt
Organism: Vicia faba (fava bean)
Lineage: Eukaryota; Viridiplantae; Streptophyta; Magnoliopsida; Fabales; Fabaceae
Source: the annotation of a GenBank genome assembly
CGAAAAUGUAACGCUUCAGCUUCUUUCAAAAAGAGAACUAUCAUCCCUCAUCUCGUCCCAAAAUCACGGCAGAAACCUUCAUAUUCUUCCUCUCCGAUCAAGACGGCGCCGCUCACUCAAGUCGCCCCUCCGACGAAUUCUUCUGUGUAUCUCGUUCAAUCAGUCCAUAUCCUCCACCGUUGUUAUCCUCGCACCUUCUUCUCCUCCUUCAAUAGACGGCCGCUAACCUGCUCUCUUCCGAUGAUUCUCCGUCGCAUCGAUACCGUUUACUUUGCCGUCGAAGUCUUUUCUACCUCCGUCUCUUUUAACACUUCCUCCUCAACAUAA